UACGUAGAUGAUGAGGUAAGUCAGAUGUGAAAGCUCGGAGCUCAACUCCGAAAUGGCAUUGGAAACUACCUUGCUCGAGGGUUGGAGGGGGGACGUGGAAUACUUGGUGUAGCAGUGAAAUGCGUAGAUAUCAAGUGGAACACCAGUGGCGAAAGCGAGUCCCUGGACAACUCCUGACACUGAGGCACGAAAGCUAGAAAACAACA
Molecule: ribosomal RNA, 206 nt
Filed under: uncultured bacterium
Lineage: Bacteria
Description: partial 16S ribosomal RNA
Rfam family: Bacterial small subunit ribosomal RNA
Source: RNAcentral